CGCCCUCUCCGGUCCCCAAACCAUCUUCCAGUAAGAAGUAACGUUUAGUUUUUAUACUACUUAGCUGGGACCUUACUAACAGAAGCAGCACCCGCUUAACUCCGCGCCAGCAGACCCGGUAAUACGAAGGGGCAACCUUAAUUUGGAAUUUAUGGGAGUAAGCCUUACACUGGCGGUUUUUAAGCGAGAUGUAAAAGCCCCCGGCUCAAACCUGGGAAUUGCAUUUCGAACUGGCAAACUUGAGUGUGAUAGAGGGUGGGUAGAAUUUCAGGGGUAGCGGUGAAAUGCGUAGAGAUCUGAAGGAAUACCGAUGGCGAAGGCAGCCACGUGGGUCAACACUGACGCUCAUGUACGAAAGCGUGGGGAGCAAACAGGAUUAGAUACCUGGUAGUCCACGCCGUAAACGAUGUCUACUAGAAGCUCGGGUCUUCGGACUUGUUUUUCAAAGCUAACGCAUUAAGUAGACCGCCUGGGGAGUACGGCCGCAAGGUUAAAACUCAAAUGAAUUGACGGGGGCCCGCACAAGCGGUGGAGCAUGUGGUUUAAUUCGAUGCAACGCGAAGAACCUUACCUACACUUGACAUACAGAGAACUUACCAGAGAUGGUUUGGUGCCUUCGGGAACUCUGAUACAGGUGCUGCAUGGCUGUCGUCAGCUCGUGUUGUGAGAUGUUGGGUUAAGUCCCGCAACGAGCGCAACCCCUAUCUUUAGUUGCCAGCGAUUCGGUCGGGAACUCUAAGGAGACUGCCGGUGAUAAACCGGAGGAAGGUGGGGAUGACUCAUCAUGGCCCUUACGUGUAGGGCUCCACACGUGCUACAAUGGCGCAUACAGAGUGGUGCGAACCUGCGAGGGUAAGCGAAUCACUUAAACUGCGUCGUAGUCCGGAUUGGAGUCUGCAACUCGACUCCAUGAAGUCGGAAUCGCUAGUAAUCGCGUAUCAGAAUGACGCGGUGAAUACGUUCCCGGGCCUGGUACACACCGCCCGUCACACCAUGGGAGUGGGUUGCUCCGGGGGGGGGUGGGGUGA
This 1028-nucleotide ribosomal RNA is filed under the name Pseudoalteromonas sp. N1. RNAcentral's name for it is "bacterial SSU rRNA". It matches the Rfam family "Bacterial small subunit ribosomal RNA", at positions 412 to 1438 of the family's 1533-position model. Lineage: Bacteria; Pseudomonadati; Pseudomonadota; Gammaproteobacteria; Alteromonadales; Pseudoalteromonadaceae. The record is from RNAcentral.